UUUUAAUUCCUUAGAGGGUUUUAGUCCCGUGAAAAAUAAUUUUUUAACGUUAUGAAAUGUUUAGACUGGUUUUAGCUUGUUCUAAUCGAUUUUAGCAGUACCACCUGCUUAGCCUAAAUUAGCAUUUUGAUCGAUAGUGUAACAGUACCGCGAGGGAAAGGUGAAAAGAACCCUACAGGUUGGGAGUGAAAAAGAUUUUGAAAUUAAAGGAUCAUAAGCAAUCAAAUUUAAAAAUUUGGUGUACCUUUUGCAUAAUGGGUCAGCAACUUGUUUCUCGUAGUGAGUUUAAAUUUUUUUUAGACGUAUUUAACAAGGUUUAUAAUUACGGGAAGCAGACCCGAAGCCAAGCGAUCUAACCUCGAUCAGGCUGAAGUUUUAACCGACGGAGGGCCGAACUCGUGUAUGUUGCAAAAUGCUGAGAUGAAUUGAGGUUAGGGGUGAAAGGCUAAUCAAGCUUGGUUAUAGCUGGUUUUCGGCGAAAUUUAUUCAGGUAAAGAGCUGUUUAUUCCUAGUCGGGUAAGGUAACGUUAUAUGUUUGGGGGAAGUAAAAUUCUUACUGGCUAUACUAAAUCUCUGAAUAGACUAUGGUGCGUUUAGCAAUUAACAGUAUUCAGAAAGUGGGUGCGAAGGUCCAUUUUCGAGAGGGAAAUAGCCCUGAUUAGUAGCUAAAGUCUUUAAAUUUUACAUAAGUGUCGUUAAAGUUUUUGGUAAUCUAAGAUAAUCAAGAGGUGGGCUUGGAAACAGCCGUCCUAUAAUGAAAACGUAAUAGUUCAAUGAUUGAUGGUUUACCAAGAACGACAAUGUACGAGACUCAAUGAAAUUGCUGAAGCUCUAAAGUUUUAAAACUGGUAGCCGAAAUAGAACAAAUGUAACAACUGUUGUUCUGGAUAAUGCUGGCAUGAGUAACUAAAUAAUUUUUAUUAUCACCGUAUACCUAAGGUUUCUUUGCCAAGGAUUUACCUGCAAAGGUUAGUCAGCCCCUAAGUUAAUUUCUUAAAUGAUAUUCGAUGGGUUAAAAGUUAAUAUUCUUUUACUGGCUUUUUGUGCUAAGUAGCAUUUAGCAAAAACUGUACUAAAACCGACACAGGUGGGUUGGUAUAAGCGUACCAAGGUGUUCGAACUAAUAGUCUUGAAGGAACUCGGCAAAUUUACUCCGUAACUUCGGGAUAAGGAGAGCCUUUACUUUCGUAAAGGUAACAUAAAAUUGGGGGUGGCGACUGUUUAUUAAAAACACAGGACUCUGCUAAAUCGAAAGAUGAGGUAUAGGGUCUGAGACCUGCCCAGUGCUGAUAAGUUAACCCUACUGGUUUACGCUAGUAGCAUAAGCUCCAGUAAACGGCAGCUGUAACUCUGACGGUUCUAAGGUAGCGAAAUCCCUUGUCGGGUAAGUUCCGACCUGCAUGAAUGGUAUAACGACUGCCCCACUGUCUCCAAGACUAAUUCGGUGAAAUUGAAUUCUUCGUGCAGAUGCGAAGUUAUGAGCAGCAAGACGGGAAGACCCUGUGCACCUUCACUGCAUUUUUUUGUUGUUGUAAAUUUUCGGAUUCGUAGCAUAAGUAGUAGCUUAUGAUUCCAGAAUUUCGAUUUUGAGAUAAAGCGUCCCUGAAAUACUGCUAGUCUCGGAAAUUUAUGACUAAUUACAUGAAAACGUAUGAUUGGUAGUUUGGCUGGGGUGGCCGCCUCCUAAAGAGUAACGGAGGUGCGCGAAGGUAAGCUUCUUAAAACUUGUUUUAAGAUAAGCGUAACGGCAAUGCUUGCCUGACUGUUAAACGGAUAGGUUUAGCAGAGACUUAAGUGUCGGUCGUAAUGAUCCGGUAGCUCUAUGUGGAAAGGCUAUCGCUUAUCGGAUAAAAGGUACGCCAGGGAUAACAGGCUAAUGAUUCUUUAGAGCUCUUAUCGACGGAAUCGUUUGGCACCUCGAUGUCGGCCCAUCGCAUCCUGGGGCUGUAGGCGGUCCCAAGGGUUCGGCUGUUCGCCGAUUAAAGCGGUACGCGAGCUGGGUUUAGAACGUC
RNAcentral lists this ribosomal RNA (2012 nucleotides) under wastewater metagenome. RNAcentral describes it as "bacterial LSU rRNA". It matches the Rfam family "Bacterial large subunit ribosomal RNA", at positions 347 to 2620 of the family's 2925-position model. The record is from RNAcentral.